Pygocentrus nattereri (red-bellied piranha) is the source of this 464-nucleotide long non-coding RNA. RefSeq lists it as uncharacterized. NCBI's taxonomy places the organism in Eukaryota, Metazoa, Chordata, Actinopteri, Characiformes, Serrasalmidae. The transcript is spliced from 4 exons. The record is from RefSeq and is a predicted model, not a curated record.
UUUGACCGUUGUUGAGCAAGGGUGCUGGUUUGACACCUACUGUUUGCACAAUUUAUAAGAUGAUCUGGGUAAAGGUGUUGGCUAAGUUUGUGGUGAGCCGAGCAGUUUGAUAAUAUCUUUAGCACAUAGACUGACCACGGAGUGAAAGAUAAAACCAAAAUAACACCCAGCUGAAGGCAGUAAACGGGGCAACACUUACAGAGAGCUUCAAGGCAGUGGAUUACACUGAGGUCCUGAACGGCUUAAAAUGUGAAAACAUGCUCUGGACUACAGCACCGCAGCUGUAGUCCUCUCCACGGCUGUCAGUGCCGUAACCAACAACCAGUAUAGCGUGAUUCAGCUCAGUGCUGCUGCAGUAUGGAUCAUCAUAAAUACCUACAAUUAAUGAAGACAUCCAGUCAUUGGGUCUGAUUCUUGAAAUGAGCAUUUGGCUGACGCUCUUAUCCAGAGUGACAAUUUGAUCA